RNAcentral lists this ribosomal RNA (478 nucleotides) under Klebsiella pneumoniae. Its description in RNAcentral is "bacterial SSU rRNA". It matches the Rfam family "Bacterial small subunit ribosomal RNA", at positions 1055 to 1533 of the family's 1533-position model. The record is from RNAcentral. RNAcentral also lists the same sequence under 1 other name. Lineage: Bacteria; Pseudomonadati; Pseudomonadota; Gammaproteobacteria; Enterobacterales; Enterobacteriaceae.
UCAGCUCGUGUCGUGAGAUGUUGGGUUAAGUCCCGCAACGAGCGCAACCCUUAAGCUUAGUUGCCAUCAUUAAGUUGGGCACUCUAAGUUGACUGCCGGUGACAAACCGGAGGAAGGUGGGGAUGACGUCAAAUCAUCAUGCCCCUUAUGAUUUGGGCUACACACGUGCUACAAUGGACAAUACAAAGGGCAGCGAAACCGCGAGGUCAAGCAAAUCCCAUAAAGUUGUUCUCAGUUCGGAUUGUAGUCUGCAACUCGACUACAUGAAGCUGGAAUCGCUAGUAAUCGUAGAUCAGCAUGCUACGGUGAAUACGUUCCCGGGUCUUGUACACACCGCCCGUCACACCACGAGAGUUUGUAACACCCGAAGCCGGUGGAGUAACCUUUUAGGAGCUAGCCGUCGAAGGUGGGACAAAUGAUUGGGGUGAAGUCGUAACAAGGUAGCCGUAUCGGAAGGUGCGGCUGGAUCACCUCCUUU